GGGACCCAGGCGCUGGAAGGCGCGGCGCCCCGAACGCCCCGGGCCCUGGGGAGCACACAGAUUCCCGGGCGUGCCCCGGCCGUGCUGGCUGGGGAGCUGCAGGGGUCUGGUCCCGCAGGUAGAGCCAGUGAACGCGAGGCUCCGCAGGUAGAGCCGGUGAACGCGAGGCUCCGCACCUUGCCCCGGCCGCCGCGCCCUGCUUGCUCGGCCCCGCGCAGCUGUAAUGGGGGACCCUAGAGCGAAGAACCCUCGAGCGAAGAACUCUCGGGGAUCGCGGCCUCCGAAGGCCCCAUCCGGCAGAGGAGGCCCCCUGCUGCCUCCCCACCGCAGCUCCCCUAGGCGCAUGCUGGACUCCCAAGUCUUCCCUGGCGGUCCCCGACAUUCUGCUUACCUGGCUAACACAAAGUUCAUCCAGCCUCCUGUGGCCCAGCCUUUCACCAAUGCCAAUAGUGGGAAGCAACAAUUAAGAAGAAGUGAUUCUGAGAAGAUAAAUGCAGUCAUCUUCUUGCCUUACUGUUAUGUGGUCACAUCCCAUAGGAAACCAGACACCUGUGCCUGAAGCUGAUCCACACAACACCCCCCACCUCCUCAAACCCCCACCCCCAUCUGUGUGAACGUGUGUGGGCCGGGGGAAAAAGAAGAACAAGGAAGGUCUGUGACUAUAUGUUUGGACCACAUGGCUGUGAUCCCUACCACCACUUAGUGACAGCAUACAUGAAUUGCAUGCUUAAUGCCGAUACCAUUCAGCCUAGAGGGGCUCCUGGACCAGGCCAGAUUUCCUACAAGGUGUUACCAAGUGGAGUUGGAAACUUGUCACCUCCUCACACCCUAACUUAUUUUUUAAAAAUAACAUAUGACUUUCCUAUAUAGGACAGAAGAUUAAUGCAUUGUUUUAUAAGCUGAACAAGAUGUUCCUUUACAAAACUUCCAAAUGACAGAAUACUAAUUUUUCCUUCACUCUUUGGCUGACUGUAAAAAUGUGCUUAAUUAAUAAAGACAUGUCCUCUCUCUGUGGGGAUGGCAGAAUAA
Molecule: long non-coding RNA, 1029 nt
Filed under: Homo sapiens (human)
Lineage: Eukaryota; Metazoa; Chordata; Mammalia; Primates; Hominidae
Description: HSALNT0217896
Source: RNAcentral